RNAcentral lists this ribosomal RNA (253 nucleotides) under uncultured bacterium. RNAcentral describes it as "partial 16S ribosomal RNA". It matches the Rfam family "Bacterial small subunit ribosomal RNA", at positions 524 to 776 of the family's 1533-position model. The record is from RNAcentral.
UACGUAGGUGGCAAGCGUUGUCCGGAAUUAUUGGGCGUAAAGGGCGCGUAGGCGGCCUGGUCAGUCGAAGGUGAAAUCCCCGAGCUCAACUUGGGAACUGCCUUCGAUACUGCCGGGCUUGAGUCCGGGAGGGGAGAGUGGAAUUCCCAGUGUAGCGGUGAAAUGCGUAGAUAUCGAGAGGAACACCUGCGGCGAAGGCGGGUUGCUGGGCCGACACUGACGCUGAUGCGCGAAAGCCAGGGGAGCGAACGGG